Molecule: ribosomal RNA, 200 nt
Filed under: uncultured bacterium
Lineage: Bacteria
Description: partial 16S ribosomal RNA
Rfam family: Bacterial small subunit ribosomal RNA
Source: RNAcentral
AACGAACGCUGGCGGCGUGGAUUAGGCAUGCAAGUCGAACGCGAAAGUCUCCUUCGGGGGGCGAGUAGAGUGGCGAACUGGUGAGUACAAGGUGACUAACCUGCCCUUGAGUGGGGGGAUAACUUCGGGAAACCGGAGCUAAUACCGCAUGGUCUCUCUGCCUUUCGAGGUGAAGAGUAAAGCAGUAAUGCGCUCGAGGA